GUGCCGGUAGCUCAGCUGGAUAGAGCGUCUGACUACGGAUCAGAAGGUCGCGAGUUCGAAUCUUGUUCGGCACA
Molecule: transfer RNA, 74 nt
Organism: Lachnoclostridium sp. An14
Lineage: Bacteria; Bacillati; Bacillota; Clostridia; Lachnospirales; Lachnospiraceae
Rfam family: tRNA
About the family: Transfer RNA (tRNA) molecules are approximately 80 nucleotides in length. Their secondary structure includes four short double-helical elements and three loops (D, anti-codon, and T loops).
Source: Rfam